UACGUAGGGACCAAGCGUUGUUCGGAUUUACUGGGCGUAAAGGGCGCGUAGGCGGCAUAUUAAGUCAGCUGUGAAAUCUCCGAGCUUAACUCGGAACUGUCAGCUGAUACUGAUGUGCUAGAGUGCAGAAGGGGCAAUCGGAAUUCUUGGUGUAGCGGUGAAAUGCGUAGAUAUCAAGAGGAACACCCUGAGGUGAAGACGGGUUGCUGGGCUGACACUGACGCUGAUAGCGCGAAAGCCAGGGGAGCAAACGGG
Molecule: ribosomal RNA, 255 nt
Filed under: uncultured bacterium
Lineage: Bacteria
Description: partial 16S ribosomal RNA
Rfam family: Bacterial small subunit ribosomal RNA
Source: RNAcentral